Molecule: ribosomal RNA, 429 nt
Filed under: Bacteroidota bacterium
Lineage: Bacteria; Pseudomonadati; Bacteroidota
Description: Bacteroidetes bacterium partial 16S ribosomal RNA
Rfam family: Bacterial small subunit ribosomal RNA
Source: RNAcentral
UAGGGAAUCUUCCGCAAUGGACGCAAGUCUGACGGAGCAACGCCGCGUGAGUGAAGAAGGAUUUCGGUUCGUAAAACUCUGUUGUUAGAGAAGAACAGCGCAUAGAGUAACUGUUAUGCGUGUGACGGUAUCUAACCAGAAAGCCACGGCUAACUACGUGCCAGCAGCCGCGGUAAUACGUAGGUGGCAAGCGUUGUCCGGAUUUAUUGGGCGUAAAGCGAGCGCAGGCGGUCAAUUAAGUCUGAUGUGAAAGCCCCCGGCUCAACCGGGGAGGGUCAUUGGAAACUGGUUGACUUGAGUGCAGAAGAGGAGAGUGGAAUUCCAUGUGUAGCGGUGAAAUGCGUAGAUAUAUGGAGGAACACCAGUGGCGAAGGCGACUCUAUGGUCUGUAACUGACGCUGAGGCUCGAAAGCGUGGGGAGCGAACAGG